Molecule: transfer RNA, 63 nt
Filed under: Ascoschoengastia sp. TATW-1
Lineage: Eukaryota; Metazoa; Arthropoda; Arachnida; Trombidiformes; Trombiculidae
Description: tRNA-Asp
Source: RNAcentral
GCUCCUUAAUUAUUUUUAUAUUACACUGUCAGUGUAAAGAGGCUUUAUUUAAGGCGGGGAGUA